UGAUGCAGCAACGCCGCGUGAGGGAUGACGGCCUUCGGGUUGUAAACCUCUUUUAGUAGGGAAGAAGCGAAAGUGACGGUACCUGCAGAAAAAGCACCGGCUAACUACGUGCCAGCAGCCGCGGUAAUACGUAGGGUGCAAGCGUUGUCCGGAAUUAUUGGGCGUAAAGAGCUCGUAGGCGGUUUGUCGCGUCUGCUGUGAAAUCCCGAGGCUCAACCUCGGGUCUGCAGUGGGUACGGGCAGACUAGAGUGCGGUAGGGGAGAUUGGAAUUCCUGGUGUAGCGGUGGAAUGCGCAGAUAUCARGAGGAACACCGAUGGSGAAGGCAGAUCUCUGGGCCGKAACUGAMGCUGAGGAGCGAARGCAUGGGGAGCGAACAGGAUUAGAURCCCUGGUAGUCCAUGCCGUAAACGUKGGGAACUAGAUGUGGGGACCAUUCCACGGUCUCCGUGUCGCAGCUAACGCAUUAAGUUCCCCGCCUGGGGAGUACGGCCGCAAGGCUAAAACUCWRAGGAAUUGACGGGGGCCCGCACAAGCGGSGGAGCAUGCGGAUUAAUUCGAUGCAACGCGAAGAACCUUACCAAGGCUUGACAUAUACCGGAAACGYGCAGAGAUGUGCGCCCCGCAAGGWCGGUAUACAGGUGGUGCAUGGUUGUCGUCAGCUCGUGUCGUGAGAUGUUGGGUUAAGUCCCGCAACGAGCGCAACCCUCGUUCUAUGUUGCCAGCACGUAAUGGUGGGAACUCAUAGGAGACUGCCGGGGUCAACUCGGAGGAAGGUGGAGAUGACGUCAAAUCAUCAUGCCCCUUAUGUCUUGGGCUUCACGCAUGCUACAAUGGCCGGUACAAAGGGCUGCGAUACCGUAAGGUGGAGCGAAUCCCAAAAAGCCGGUCUCAGUUCGGAUUGAGGUCUGCAACUCGACCUCAUGAAGUCGGAGUCGCUAGUAAUCGCAGAUCAGCAACGCUGCGGUGAAUACGUUCCCGGGCCUUGUACACACCGCCCGUCA
Molecule: ribosomal RNA, 1003 nt
Filed under: Clavibacter sp.
Lineage: Bacteria; Bacillati; Actinomycetota; Actinomycetes; Micrococcales; Microbacteriaceae
Description: bacterial SSU rRNA
Rfam family: Bacterial small subunit ribosomal RNA
Source: RNAcentral